CCAAGACAGCUUCUGAAGUAAUGAGAGAAGUGUUGAUUCUAGAAUCAAGGAAGCAGAGUUCAACUAGAAGCAAAUGAAAGACAAUGCAAGAUAAUCUUACAAUAUUGAUUCACUGUAAGCCAACAGUGGCUUGAUCCGAGAUUAGGAGGAAUCAUAUGACAUUUGUUUGGUGGGACCCGAAACUGGGUCAAACUAUGGUAGCACUAGUAUGGAUGAAGAAGAUGGUGCUCAUCUAAAAGUGUUUGCAGAGAGG
Molecule: long non-coding RNA, 253 nt
Organism: Symphalangus syndactylus (siamang)
Lineage: Eukaryota; Metazoa; Chordata; Mammalia; Primates; Hylobatidae
Source: RefSeq, a predicted model, not a curated record